RNAcentral lists this ribosomal RNA (253 nucleotides) under uncultured bacterium. RNAcentral's name for it is "partial 16S ribosomal RNA". It matches the Rfam family "Bacterial small subunit ribosomal RNA", at positions 524 to 776 of the family's 1533-position model. The record is from RNAcentral.
UACGAAGGGGGCUAGCGUUGCUCGGAAUCACUGGGCGUAAAGCGCACGUAGGCGGCUUCUUAAGUCAGGGGUGAAAUCCUGGAGCUCAACUCCAGAACUGCCUUUGAUGCUGAGUAGCUUGAGUCCGGGAGAGGUGAGUGGAACUGCGAGUGUAGAGGUGAAAUUCGUAGAUAUUCGCAAGAACACCAGUGGCGAAGGCGGCUCACUGGCCCGGUACUGACGCUGAGGUGCGAAAGCGUGGGGAGCAAACAGG